Molecule: long non-coding RNA, 453 nt
Organism: Amaranthus tricolor (Joseph's coat)
Lineage: Eukaryota; Viridiplantae; Streptophyta; Magnoliopsida; Caryophyllales; Amaranthaceae
Exons: 2
Source: RefSeq, a predicted model, not a curated record
GCCAUUAAUUUUGACAUCUUGAGUUGAUUCUCGAGGAACCAACAAUGGAAUUGGAGGGUGAAGUCGAAGUGUUUCUUUGAUCACUGCCUUCAAGAACUUCAUCUUUUCUAGAUCGUCGUCAGAUACGUCUGCUUGUCCUCUGAAGGAGUAUGAGUUAUGUAUAUCUGUGACCAUAUUUGUAAGUUGGAAGUAGCUAAUUGGAUGAGAGAACCGAGAAGCAGUAUAUCCAUGGAGUCUUUAUCUCCUUUACUGUAUUUGAAACAGUCUCGCAAAACUGGUUGGGCAAACAAGGUAGCAGAUAGUGAAUAUAUUUGUUCAUGUAUUUUGUGUCUUUAUCAAUCAUUUUAUGGCUUUCAAUACAAAAUAGUAUUCUUUAUCCUUUAUUUGUUAUGCUCAUUUGUUACUCUAACCUAAUUCAUGGCUUUCAUCAAUACAAGCUUUUGACUUUGUCAA